ACGUGAGUAACCUGCCCUUAACUCUGGGAUAAGCCUGGGAAACUGGGUCUAAUACCGGAUAUGACUCCUCAUCGCAUGGUGGGGGGUGGAAAGCUUUUUUGUGGUUUUGGAUGGACUCGCGGCCUAUCAGCUUGUUGGUGAGGUAAUGGCUCACCAAGGCGACGACGGGUAGCCGGCCUGAGAGGGUGACCGGCCACACUGGGACUGAGACACGGCCCAGACUCCUACGGGAGGCAGCAGUGGGGAAUAUUGCACAAUGGGCGCAAGCCUGAUGCAGCGACGCCGCGUGAGGGAUGACGGCCUUCGGGUUGUAAACCUCUUUCAGUAGGGAAGAAGCGAAAGUGACGGUACCUGCAGAAGAAGCGCCGGCUAACUACGUGCCAGCAGCCGCGGUAAUACGUAGGGCGCAAGCGUUAUCCGGAAUUAUUGGGCGUAAAGAGCUCGUAGGCGGUUUGUCGCGUCUGCCGUGAAAGUCCGGGGCUCAACUCCGGAUCUGCGGUGGGUACGGGCAGACUAGAGUGAUGUAGGGGAGACUGGAAUUCCUGGUGUAGCGGUGAAAUGCGCAGAUAUCAGGAGGAACACCGAUGGCGAAGGCAGGUCUCUGGGCAUUAACUGACGCUGAGGAGCGAAAGCAUGGGGAGCGAACAGGAUUAGAUACCCUGGUAGUCCAUGCCGUAAACGUUGGGCACUAGGUGUGGGGGACAUUCCACGUUUUCCGCGCCGUAGCUAACGCAUUAAGUGCCCCGCCUGGGGAGUACGGCCGCAAGGCUAAAACUCAAAGGAAUUGACG
This 790-nucleotide ribosomal RNA is filed under the name Arthrobacter sp. AL.original. RNAcentral's name for it is "bacterial SSU rRNA". It matches the Rfam family "Bacterial small subunit ribosomal RNA", at positions 115 to 915 of the family's 1533-position model. The record is from RNAcentral. Lineage: Bacteria; Bacillati; Actinomycetota; Actinomycetes; Micrococcales; Micrococcaceae.